UUGUUCUUAUAUCAGUCAGGGGUA
RNAcentral lists this non-coding RNA (24 nucleotides) under Cricetulus griseus (Chinese hamster). Lineage: Eukaryota; Metazoa; Chordata; Mammalia; Rodentia; Cricetidae. The record is from RNAcentral.